UAAGAAGAGGUGUAAAGGAUGCACAAGGAGUUUUGAUCUCUUAGGGGAAGGUUCGAAUCCUUUUUUCUUAA
Molecule: transfer RNA, 71 nt
Filed under: Paradactylodon persicus (Persian mountain salamander)
Lineage: Eukaryota; Metazoa; Chordata; Amphibia; Caudata; Hynobiidae
Description: tRNA-Gln
Rfam family: tRNA
About the family: Transfer RNA (tRNA) molecules are approximately 80 nucleotides in length. Their secondary structure includes four short double-helical elements and three loops (D, anti-codon, and T loops).
Source: RNAcentral